This 253-nucleotide ribosomal RNA is filed under the name uncultured bacterium. RNAcentral describes it as "partial 16S ribosomal RNA". It matches the Rfam family "Bacterial small subunit ribosomal RNA", at positions 524 to 776 of the family's 1533-position model. The record is from RNAcentral.
UACGGGGGGGGCAAGCGUUGUUCGGAAUUACUGGGCGUAAAGGGCUCGUAGGUGGCCAACUAAGUCAGACGUGAAAUCCCUCGGCUUAACCGGGGAACUGCGUCUGAUACUGGAUGGCUUGAGAUUGGGAGAGGGAUGCGGAAUUCCAGGUGUAGCGGUGAAAUGCGUAGAUAUCUGGAGGAACACCGGUGGCGAAGGCGGCAUCCUGGACCAACACUGACACUGAGGAGCGAAAGCCAGGGGACCAAACGGG